This is a small nuclear RNA of Centruroides sculpturatus (bark scorpion), 164 nucleotides long. RefSeq annotates it as U1 spliceosomal RNA. NCBI's taxonomy places the organism in Eukaryota, Metazoa, Arthropoda, Arachnida, Scorpiones, Buthidae. The record is from RefSeq and is a predicted model, not a curated record. The transcript has a single exon.
AUACUUACUUGGCGUCGAGGUUAGCUGCGUUCAAAAGGGCGGCGCCUCCGGGACGAGGCUCGACCAUUGCACUCGGGUCGAGCUGACUCCUGGUAUUUGCUUCUGUUGGGAGCGGAUACGCGCGUAAUUUUUGGUAGCGGGGACUGCGUUCGCGCUUUCCCCAU